Long non-coding RNA from Homo sapiens (human), 1127 nucleotides. Ensembl annotates it as long intergenic non-protein coding RNA 1592. NCBI's taxonomy places the organism in Eukaryota, Metazoa, Chordata, Mammalia, Primates, Hominidae. The record is from Ensembl.
UGGUCAUCUGCAAGCGCAAAAGACAGGCCUCAGAAGAACCCAACCCUAUUGACACUAUGAUCUUGGACAUCCAGCCUCCAGAACUCCUAGGAGCAGAGAAGAAACCAUAUUUACUCAUCAUCAUCCGUUAACAAACCAUCUGUAUGCCUAAUAUUGAUGCUGUCUUUCCCUAGUGUACUGGACAACCUAAGACAGGGAAAUAAAGAUAAAGUUUGGAUUGAAGAGUGAGGAGCCAAAAUAAUGCAGCUUCACAUCUCCUUAAUGGACAGAAGACUACACUGUUUUUGCUGCACCCAGAGAUAAAAUUAUUGGUUUUGGAGUACCUUCACUGAUGCCAGCCCAAUAUCAUGUCUGGUUUAUAUUUCAAUCUGAGCAAUGAGUAGGGAGCAACCCACAGCCACAUUGAGAGCCAGCCUUGAAAAUCAGAGGGACCUCUUGAUUUUGGACACGACUUUUCAGGAUCCUUUUGAGAAAGUGCUGGGCACUGCAAGCAACAUGUGAGACACCACGACGUCUGUUUUAUCCAUCGUGUGCCCUGUGCCUGGCAUGGAGCCUGUCCCACAGUAAGCAGGCAAGAAAUGAUUUUAAGUGAAAGAUUGAUUGGGCUGACUGGACUCUUUCUCCAUUCAAAAUAACCUUUCAUAUUUAUGCAACACAUAGUUUACCAACUUCACAGAAAUGAAAAACUUUGUGUGACGUGUUGGGGCUAACAAGAUGAAGAUGGACUCCUGCCAUCAUAAGGUUCCUGAUCUAGGCACAGGGAUUCCUGGAAACAAUUCCCCACAGAUAUCAAGGGAUGAUUGUAUUCGGCCAGAAAGUACAUCUCAAAGAGUAAGAAUUAGGCAAGACAUAGUUGGAUGUUGGCACUCCGUCUAGCCUGAAAGCAGUUAUAGAAGAAGGCUUUCUGAGAAGCGGUGCCACACGUCUUUUCAAUGUCAUCACAAGAGUGCCUGGUCUAACUCUCAGGGGAUACGUGCUUUUUGCCUGCUCAUUUAUUGGGGAGUGUCUGGAAAGAAUCUAUUGUUCGUGACGUCGCCUAUGUUCUCCUUUACUUCCCUAUUCAGUCAUUGGGUUGGAGCUACAUUUUAAGGCAAAUAAAUAAAUAAAUAAUUUUAGUAAAAGUUAAA